RNAcentral lists this ribosomal RNA (444 nucleotides) under Alexandrium margalefii. RNAcentral's name for it is "partial Bacterial large subunit ribosomal RNA". It matches the Rfam family "Bacterial large subunit ribosomal RNA", at positions 2011 to 2466 of the family's 2925-position model. The record is from RNAcentral. Lineage: Eukaryota; Dinophyceae; Gonyaulacales; Pyrocystaceae.
GGACACUGUCUCAGCCAUGAGCUCGGUGAAAUUGUAGUAUCGGUGAAGAUGCCGGUUACCCGCAGUGGGACGAAAAGACCCCGUGCACCUUUACUAUAGCUUCGUAUUGACCUUGGGCAACCAAUGUGUAGGAUAGCUGGGAGACUUUGAAGCUGCGUCGCUAGGCGUGGUGGAGUCGUUGUUGAAAUACCACCCUUAUUUUAUCUGAUGCCUAAUCCCUCACAGGAGACAUUGUGUGGUGGGUAGUUUGACUGGGGUGGUCGCCUCCAAAAGAGUAACGGAGGCUCCUAAAGGUACCCUCAACACGUUUGGUAAUCGUGUGUAGAGUGUAAUGGCAUAAGGGUGCUUGACUGAGAGACCGACAAGUCGACCAGGUAGGAAACUAGAGCAUAGUGAUCCGGUGGUUCCGCAUGGAAGGGCCAUCGCUCAAAGGAUAAAAGGUAC